AAUUCGCCCGUCUGAGUAGCAGUUGUCCUCAAGAGGAACGUUCUUUCGGUCUUCACCUUCGGAACCAAGUCUCCGGACUAGGGCAUUCAUAAUGUAAAAGAACAUAACAUGAAGUUGCACAUAUGUUUAUGACCCAUUCUUAAGCAGAUGCACAUAUCUUUAGAGAACUAUAAUGUAAAAGGAAAAAUAAAUUCUUCACAAUACUAAUACAGAACAGAAGAAUUGUGGAAAGGAAGGAGAGAAGAAAGCAUCAUCUAGAAUCUCUGUCACUUCUAUUAAUGGCCAAGCCAUUCAGCUCAACACUAAUGGAGAUUUAGGGACUUUGUACAGUAUAAUGCAAUGUGUAUCCAUGGAUGGAUCCGCCAAAAAACUAUCUGCAAUAACAAUGAAGUCGUCAGAUCAAGUGAUGAAAAGCAUAAGAAGCAACAGGGCAAACAUAACUAUUAAAACAAGCAAAUCCUAUUUCAGUCUGAAAGAAGUUAUUAAUCAGGCAAGCUGACUGAAAUUAACUGAAAAUGUCAUUAUGGCUCCAAACCAGAAACAUAACUGCAUAAGCGGUUAAAUUGGGCAGCUUAAGAAUGAUAUCAAGCAAUGGGCAUGAAACCUUUCUUCCCAGUUGAUGACAGAAAGGGAAUUAAAGUAAGGUUAAAAAAAUGACCAAGCACAUUUGCAACAAUCUACACAAGUAAAUUGUUUCAUUUGAUUCGGAAGAAUAAUAAAAAUGUUGAUCAUAUAUAAGCCUACACAAGCUAAUUAAUGAUCUUCGUGAGUAGCUAUUCCAGCUGGUGCCACUGAGACGGUGAAGAUUUCAAAAGCAUCACAGGGAAAGUUUCAUUCAGGAUUCAGGCUGAUCGAGGCUGGGUAUGGCCAUACCAUUCAAUUUUAGUACAAUACAGACCUACAGAAUGACACCCUUUAAAAUGGAAACAAUAAAACUUUGAACGCAGAAAAUUCUUUGAAAAGUUGUAACAUUUAUAGCCAUGGAAGUAACUAUUACCUCUUCAAAAUUGUAUCAGAAAUUAAUAAACCAUGAC
RNAcentral lists this long non-coding RNA (1034 nucleotides) under Triticum aestivum (bread wheat). Its description in RNAcentral is "long non-coding RNA (TAES_LNC011520)". Lineage: Eukaryota; Viridiplantae; Streptophyta; Magnoliopsida; Poales; Poaceae. The record is from RNAcentral.